UUUCCGUAGGCGAACCUGCGGAAGGAUCAUUCAUAAUAAGUGUUUUAUGGCACUUUCUUAAAUCCAUAUCCACCUUGUGUGCAAUGUCAGGGCUGAUUUUUCUCUCGAGAGGAUCAACCCCAAACAUCAACUAUAUCUCAACUCUUUGUCUGAAAAAUAUUAUGAAUAAAACAAUUCAAAAUACAACUUUCAACAACGGAUCUCUUGGCUCUC
This 213-nucleotide unclassified non-coding RNA is filed under the name plant metagenome. RNAcentral's name for it is "partial contains small subunit ribosomal RNA, internal transcribed spacer 1, and 5.8S ribosomal RNA". The record is from RNAcentral.